This 256-nucleotide ribosomal RNA is filed under the name uncultured bacterium. Its description in RNAcentral is "partial 16S ribosomal RNA". It matches the Rfam family "Bacterial small subunit ribosomal RNA", at positions 524 to 776 of the family's 1533-position model. The record is from RNAcentral.
UACGUAGGGGGCUAGCGUUGUCCGGAAUCAUUGGGCGUAAAGAGCGUGUAGGCGGCCCGGUAAGUCCGCUGUGAAAGUCGGGGGGCUCAACCCUCGAAUGCCGGUGGAUACUGUCGGGCUAGAGUGCGGAAGAGGCGAGUGGAAUUCCUGGUGUAGCGGUGAAAUGCGCAGAUAUCAGGAGGAACACCGGUGGCGAAGGCGGGUCUCUGGGCCGAUACUGACGCUGGAGGAGCGAAAGCGUGGGGGAGCGAACAGG